UGAUAGUUUACUUGACACUGAUUCCAAAAAUAUAUGGUUCUAUAUACUUUUACAUUGAUUUAGUACAAAAAAAUAGCUACUUCCGGUUUACAAAAGGUCACUUCCGGUUGUGUUUUUUUAAGGUCACAAUGCUUACAACUUAAUGCAAAAAGUCCCAUGGCUUUAUCAUGUGUACAUAUGAGGUAAAAGCAAAGGUCAAAAUCUAGAACGUUUAAUUAGCAUAUGACCUUGAGCUCAAUUUCAAGGUCAUAAACCAAGGACCUCAAAUCAAAAGACUCUAGUCCUCUACUUUAUAUUGUUAAAGAGUUAUAUUACCAUACGUAUGAUAUUAGAUAUAAAAAGGGGGAAAACUCGCGUCAAAUGUCUAAGUACCCUUUCGACUAAAAUUUAUGUGUUACGACAUGUCG
This 407-nucleotide long non-coding RNA is filed under the name Mytilus galloprovincialis (Mediterranean mussel). Lineage: Eukaryota; Metazoa; Mollusca; Bivalvia; Mytilida; Mytilidae. The record is from RNAcentral.